Molecule: ribosomal RNA, 492 nt
Filed under: uncultured bacterium
Lineage: Bacteria
Description: partial 16S ribosomal RNA
Rfam family: Bacterial small subunit ribosomal RNA
Source: RNAcentral
AGUGAACGCUGGCGGUAGGCCUAACACAUGCAAGUCGAACGGCAGCACAGUAAGAGCUUGCUCUUACGGGUGGCGAGUGGCGGACGGGUGAGGCAUACAUCGGAAUCUACUUUUUCGUGGGGGAUAACGUAGGGAAACUUACGCUAAUACCGCAUACGACCUACGGGUGAAAGCAGGGGAUCUUCGGACCUUGCGCGAUUGAAUGAGCCGAUGUCGGAUUAGCUAGUUGGCGGGGUAAAGGCCCACCAAGGCGACGAUCCGUAGCUGGUCUGAGAGGAUGAUCAGCCACACUGGAACUGAGACACGGUCCAGACUCCUACGGGAGGCAGCAGUGGGGAAUAUUGGGCAAUGGGCGCAAGCCUGAUCCAGCCAUACCGCGUGAGUGAAGAAGGCCUUCGGGUUGUAAAGCCCUUUUGUUGGGAAAGAAAAGCAGCAGGUUAAUACCCCGCUGUUCUGACGGUACCCAAAGAAUAAGCACCGGCUAACUUCGUG